This 403-nucleotide ribosomal RNA is filed under the name Fusobacteriota bacterium. Its description in RNAcentral is "Fusobacteria bacterium partial 16S ribosomal RNA". It matches the Rfam family "Bacterial small subunit ribosomal RNA", at positions 355 to 776 of the family's 1533-position model. Lineage: Bacteria; Fusobacteriati; Fusobacteriota. The record is from RNAcentral.
UGGGGAAUUUUGCACAAUGGAGGAAACUCUGAUGCAGCGACGCCGCGCGAGUGAUGAAGAUCUGCGGAUUGUAAAACUCUGUCCUUAGUGAAGAUAAUGACAGUAACUAAGAAGCAAGCCCUGGCUAAAUACGUGCCAGCAGCCGCGGUAAGACGUAUGGGGCAAGCGUUGUCCGGAAUUAUUGGGCGUAAAGGGUACGUAGGCGGUUUAAUAAGUCCUAAUUAAAAGGCUAUGGCUCAACCAUAGUAUGGUUAGGAAACUGUUGAACUUGAGUAGAUGAGGGGAAAGUGGAAUUCCAUGUGUAGCGGUGAAAUGCGUAGAUAUAUGGAGGAACACCAAUGGCGAAGGCAACUUUCUGGAAUCAAACUGACGCUGAGGUACGAAGGCGUGGGGAGCAAACAGG